Orcinus orca (killer whale) is the source of this 343-nucleotide long non-coding RNA. RefSeq lists it as uncharacterized. The transcript is spliced from 2 exons. The record is from RefSeq and is a predicted model, not a curated record. Lineage: Eukaryota; Metazoa; Chordata; Mammalia; Artiodactyla; Delphinidae.
UAUAAAUGCUUUUUCAGUGUGUUUUUAAAAUUGAGUCACUUCAAUUUGGUCUGUAUCUUGCUUCUCACAACGCGUGUCUUCUUGAAAAAUUGUGGUUAAAUGAAUAUUUAAAACUGCAACCAUGGGCUUCCCUGGUGACAGUGUGGUUGAGGGUCCGCCUGCCGAUGCAGGGGACACGGGUUCGUGCCCCGGUCCGGGAAGAUCCCACAUGCCGCGGAGCGGCUGGGCCCGUGAGCCACGGCCGCUGAGCCUGCGCGUCCGGAGCCUGUGCUCCGCAACGGGAAAGGCCACAACAGUGAGAGGCCCGCGUACCGCAAAAAAAAAAAAAAAAAAAAAAGAAAGA